RNAcentral lists this transfer RNA (93 nucleotides) under Streptomyces eurythermus. RNAcentral's name for it is "tRNA-Asp". The record is from RNAcentral. Lineage: Bacteria; Bacillati; Actinomycetota; Actinomycetes; Kitasatosporales; Streptomycetaceae.
CGCGCGGUGGGUGACGGCGACGCCCUUGGGCCGUCCGGUCGAGCCGGAGGUGAACACGACGUAGGCGGUGCGGUCCGCCUCCUCGCCGGGCGG